This 253-nucleotide ribosomal RNA is filed under the name uncultured bacterium. Its description in RNAcentral is "partial 16S ribosomal RNA". It matches the Rfam family "Bacterial small subunit ribosomal RNA", at positions 524 to 776 of the family's 1533-position model. The record is from RNAcentral.
UACAGAGGUCUCAAGCGUUGUUCGGAUUCAUUGGGCGUAAAGGGUGCGUAGGCGGCGCGGUAAGUCGGGUGUGAAAUCUCGGGGCUUAACUCCGAAACUGCAUUCGAUACUGCCGUGCUUGAGGACUGGAGAGGAGACUGGAAUUUACGGUGUAGCGGUGAAAUGCGUAGAUAUCGUAAGGAAGACCAGUGGCGAAGGCGGGUCUCUGGACCAUUACUGACGCUGAGGAGCGAAAGCGUGGGGAGCGAACAGG